RNAcentral lists this long non-coding RNA (636 nucleotides) under Lathyrus oleraceus (garden pea). RNAcentral describes it as "Pisum sativum (pea) long non-coding RNA (PSAT_LNC003652)". Lineage: Eukaryota; Viridiplantae; Streptophyta; Magnoliopsida; Fabales; Fabaceae. The record is from RNAcentral.
UCAUUCAGACUUUAUGAAGCAAGAGUGGUAACAUAUGCAUUGCCAUAAACUUCAUUUUUUAUGUAUAAUUUAUUUUCAUUCUUUUAUCCACUAAAAUACAUACAACUUUCAUGCCUUUUCCUGGUACUACAAGAUGGCUCUUCUGUUGGUUUGUUUGUCUCUAUAACCGGCAACCACACCGUUACUUCCAUUUCUUGGAUUUUAGCUCUCGUAAAUAACUUUGUUGGUACGACAAUUAUCCCCAACCAUUCAUAUUAAGUUUUCGAAAGUCCAACAUGAAAGCAACUUCUAGGUUUGGUGGCUUAAGAUAUUUAAUUAUAAUUAAACGCUGAUAAAUAUAAAGAAGUUAUUUCUAAAAAUUUGUGCUUAAGAAAUUCUUUUUUUUUAUGAAAUUAAAAAGAGUAUGAAAUAAUAUUUUUAUUGAUCCCGUAAAUCAGUUUAAUUGAUAGUCGUGCAGAGAUAUCAGAUGCAGUGAUACAGAUUCGAAUAUGCGACAUCCUAUUUAUUUAAAUAAUAAAAUUUCGAAUUUUAUUCAUGUGGACACUAAUCUUUGUGCUCCUACUUCAAAUAUAUAGGUAAUUAAGAUAGAUACAUAUAUAGAAGCAGUAAACGAGCUAUCCGUCCCGUUUAAACCCG